UGCAGCUGUACAUUGUUUCUCCUUAUCAAAU
Molecule: non-coding RNA, 31 nt
Filed under: Rattus norvegicus (Norway rat)
Lineage: Eukaryota; Metazoa; Chordata; Mammalia; Rodentia; Muridae
Source: RNAcentral